GGAAUGGGGACUUGAACCUGAUUUUAUCAAGUAAGUAAUAUACCUUGAGCCACUGAAUCAAACUAGACUAGAGAGUCAAUUGUGCAUUUUACCUAAACUAUGAGGUUUUCUUCAUCUUUCUUAGUGAGUAAGUUCCAAUUCAAAUGGUUAUUUCAAUGUGGAGUUUGAGUAUCUUAUGAGUUUGGAAUGUCACUUUGGGGAGCCUAUAAAUGUAACAAUUGUUAGGAAAUUUCAUAGUGAUAUGUGAUUUGCAUAUGUUCCAAUUUC
Molecule: unclassified non-coding RNA, 267 nt
Filed under: Hevea brasiliensis (rubber tree)
Lineage: Eukaryota; Viridiplantae; Streptophyta; Magnoliopsida; Malpighiales; Euphorbiaceae
Source: RNAcentral